CAAAUUUCAAAAGUUUUUAUCAAAUAGUUCAUAUUAAUAUCGCCUUUGGUUAUGACACUUCCCAGUUAUGUUUUUGAUUUCAGAAGGAAUGGCAUUUAGGAAUAUCCCUUCAUGCCUGAAGCAGCCUUCAUGCAACUGCUGUGACACCAACAUCAUUUUGGACAAAUGGGUGCUUUCUUUCUCUUUGCUUUGCUAGAUUCUCUUCUCUUUUUUAAGUGAUGGUCACAUGCGGUUGGGUGUUUGCACUUUGCAAAUCACUGACAUCAAAUGAGCUAGAUUUGGCAUGAGUUAAAUUAGAAAUUUAAAAAGCAAGGUUACCUAAGCAUUUCUUCAGAACACUGCAUAAUCUCUGGAAGCAGUGGGUUCAGUGUUCUCUAACUCCCUGCCUCUGGGUGCUGGAUACAGCACACCUACAGCAAUCAUGAGGGUUGAGGAGUUUUACGUAGCAGCAGCCGAGGAACGCUUGAAGUCCAUGAGACAGAUCAAUAAAGGUUGAAGUAACAUCCAACUAGGUCUAGAACACUUUUAAAAAGUAAUCUCAAUUACUGUGGUCCCUGAAAUUUUGCCUACAUCGGUAAAGUCAUUCAUUUUCUUAUUUUUACUUUUUGAACCCUGAAAUGAUAUUGUUUUAUGUAGUAUUUCCUGAGUUUAUUUUCCUCAUACCACAGUAACUGUUCCAACUCCUUCUUGCCUUUUUAAUGGACAUAGUUGUUAAUUUAGCAAACUGCAAUGCGUUUUUCGAUUUUGGGAGAAGGACUUUAUAUACUAAAGGAAAGUCACAUAUAACGUAUUUCUCAAUUUUGGAAUUUUAUGUGAAUGACAUGAGAAGCUAUAGUCCUACGAGACACCUAAGAGACUUUUUCACAAAGCAAUAAUAUGACCAUUAAAAGCUUACCAUCCUUCUUUUCCUAAUAAGAAUUCAGCUAUAUUUUUCUUUGCAGUUCUAAGGAAUUUAGGAAUAUAUAUAUUCUGUAGACAGAGCAGUCCUCGUACGACUAGAGGUCCAGAUACUGUAUUAGACAGAUGGGUCCUUCUACUGUAGGCUUCUUCAUGACUAGUUAGUACACAUCUCAAAUGUGUCUGCAAGUCUGGAUUGUAUUCUCAAAAAAGAAGAGGUUCCACUGAAAAGCAAAUGAUCGAUACUGUUUAUCCUUGGAGUCCUGUUCUGCUUCCUCUCAUUGAGUCAUUGGCUCUCUUUGCUCCUUUACUUCGAGGAGUUGCGGGGAGAGGGCCAUGUAAUACAACUACCUGCCUCUGACUGCAAGACCUCUUGUGGAAUAUUACGUUUCUAGAUCCUAAAGCACUCGUCAGUUGGAACUAAGAAGCAGACUAUGAAAGGGUUUCAAAUGUGUGUCCUCUUUUUAAGCGUUGCACUCUCAUUUUCAGUGAAUUGGUGUGUUCUUCUCCUUUUUCUGCACAUGCGAUUGAACCAAAAAAGGGCAGGUCAAUAAUAGGCUUUCAACUUUUCCUGCUUGUGGUUUCAUUUGUUUCUGGCUUCUUUGGGUAGCUUAUCAAUCAAAAAUGCCAUGUGUUUCUAUCUAUACCUGGACACUGUUUAAUCUGCUUCCUGCAGCUCCUUACCUCCCGGUAACCAUCUUCCUCAGCUCUAAAACGCACAUACUAUGACCUGAUUUUCUCUUAUUCUCUUCGUUCACCAGACAGUGUUUGCCGUCAUCACGUGUUGUUCAGUUUCCCCCUUUAUGACCUCUUUCAUCUGUCUUGUCCUCAUAAUCAACUUGGUCAAAUAGAUUAUUACCAAUACAAUUGAUGGGCUGGGUAUUUUUGAAGGUUGUGAUGUAUGCAUUUUCUUCCAAGACAAAGGCAGGCCAUUUGCUUUACAACCUUCCCUUCUGCCAUUUGAUAUCACAAUUCUCUUCCUUUCCACUCAAGUUAGCCAAAUAUCUUAUUAAAGCUGGCCAGUCAAAGCGUGAAAGUCUAAAUCACAUAAAAAGGGAUCAAUCAGUCUUUUAGAAGCCCGUCAUCAUCAUGUCUACUGUUUCUGAUUUUUACUCAUUCACUAAAUCAUCUCCCUUUCUGCCUCUCUUCACUGUUGUGGACUAUUCCCCAAAUAAACAUGAGUUCUCAGCCAGUGUUGGUGUGUUGGUGUAUUGGUGUGUUGGUGUGUGUGUUUGCAAGCAGUCUGUGUGUGUGUGUGUGUGUGUGUGUGUGUGUGUGUGUGUGUGUGUGUGUUUAUCAGCAUCCUGAUAUGUUUAAAGGCACUUGAGUUUUCUGCAUGAUAUUUCCCAACAUAUUUACGCUGACUUUUCCAUUUUGUCUUUCAGAAGGACCACAGAACUUAGAUCAAGUCCAGAAAGAAAUGGCUAGGAUGAUGGCUCUGUUCAAGGAUGAUUGGAGGAGAGAACAGUUGCAGAAUGAAGGACUUCAGGAAAAAUAUGGUAAAGCCUCUUUUAUAUCCCCUCACCACCCAAACAUUGUAGAACACCUGCGUUCGUGGUGUUGUAAAGAUAUCCCAGCUUUUAGCCAACGUGUCACCACUGGCUUGCCCUCUCCCAGAUCUCUGCUAUUCUGGCACAAUUUUGCAGUUAGGGACUCUCCCAUAUUCCUCCCUUCUCUGCUCUUGCAAAGCCUGUAUGUUCCAAUAUAGUCUGUGGGUCAAGUGUAAACUCGAGGGGCAUCCCUGCACUGACUCUGAGCACAUGACCCAAGUGUCCCCAGGUAUUCGUAGACUUCCCAUUGUUUUACCUAGGAAUUUUUUAUUUAGAACCAAUGAGAGUAAUUUUCAUUCUUUCCUUUUUACUUCAUUGACACAGCUGUCAAUUUUGCAAACUCCAACUACUUCAAAUAUUUGUAGAAGGAUUUCAUAGCUUAAGGAAAGAUCAAUAAUAAUAAUCAUAAUACAUUUCUGAUUUCUAAGUUUUCAUGCGAAUGACACAAGGAACUACUGUCCUACAAUGUUCCCAGAAGGCUUUUCAUAAAACGCAAACGUAGUCUUUAGAAGUUUAAUAUCCUGUUUUCCUAAUGACAUUUUUGUCAGUGCACUUUAGUUUUCAGAGGGAAUCAAAUUCACCUCUCAAUGCAUGUAGCUGGCUU
Molecule: long non-coding RNA, 3051 nt
Filed under: Sus scrofa (pig)
Lineage: Eukaryota; Metazoa; Chordata; Mammalia; Artiodactyla; Suidae
Description: lncRNA (ENSSSCG00035050550.1)
Source: RNAcentral